Molecule: transfer RNA, 61 nt
Filed under: Barbronia weberi
Lineage: Eukaryota; Metazoa; Annelida; Clitellata; Hirudinida; Salifidae
Also listed under: 1 other name
Description: tRNA-Leu
Source: RNAcentral
GAUAAUAUGGCAGAUUAGUGCAUUAGGUUUAAACCCUAAUUAUGGGUAUACCCUUUUAUCA